CCUACGGGAGGCAGCAGUGGGGAAUAUUGGACAAUGGGGGCAACCCUGAUCCAGCCAUGUCGCGUGUGUGAAGAAGGCCCUCGGGUUGUAAAGCACUUUCAGUGAGGAAGAACGCCUGGUGGUUAAUACCCAUCAGGAAAGACAUCACUCACAGAAGAAGCACCGGCUAACUCCGUGCCAGCAGCCGCGGUAAUACGGAGGGUGCGAGCGUUAAUCGGAAUUACUGGGCGUAAAGCGCGCGUAGGUGGCUUGAUAAGCCGGUUGUGAAAGCCCCGGGCUCAACCUGGGAACGGCAUCCGGAACUGUCAAGCUAGAGUGCAGGAGAGGAAGGUAGAAUUCCCGGUGUAGCGGUGAAAUGCGUAGAGAUCGGGAGGAAUACCAGUGGCGAAGGCGGCCUUCUGGACUGACACUGACACUGAGGUGCGAAAGCGUGGGUAGCAAACAGGAUUAGAUACCCGAGUAGUC
Molecule: ribosomal RNA, 465 nt
Filed under: Vreelandella stevensii
Lineage: Bacteria; Pseudomonadati; Pseudomonadota; Gammaproteobacteria; Oceanospirillales; Halomonadaceae
Description: partial 16S ribosomal RNA
Rfam family: Bacterial small subunit ribosomal RNA
Source: RNAcentral